This 468-nucleotide ribosomal RNA is filed under the name uncultured bacterium. RNAcentral's name for it is "partial 16S ribosomal RNA". It matches the Rfam family "Bacterial small subunit ribosomal RNA", at positions 28 to 507 of the family's 1533-position model. The record is from RNAcentral.
GACGAACGCUGGCGGCGUGCUUAACACAUGCAAGUCGAACGGAAAGGCCCUGCUUUUGUGGGGUGCUCGAGUGGCGAACGGGUGAGUAACACGUGAGUAACCUGCCCUUGACUUUGGGAUAACUUCAGGAAACUGGGGCUAAUACCGGAUAGGAGCUCCUGCUGCAUGGUGGGGGUUGGAAAGUUUUGGCGGUUGGGGAUGGACUCGCGGCUUAUCAGCUUGUGGGUGGGGUAGUGGCUUACCAAGGCUUUGACGGGUAGCCGGCCUGAGAGGGUGACCGGCGUCAUUGGGACUGAGAUACGGCCCAGACUGCUACGGGAGGCAGCAGUGGGGAAUAUUGCACAAUGGGCGGAAGCCUGAUGCAGCAACGCCGCGUGCGGGAUGACGGCCUUCGGGUUGUAAACCGCUUUCGCCUGUGACGAAGCGUGAGUGACGGUAAUGGGUAAAGAAGCACCGGCUAACUACGUG